GAUGAACGCUGGCGGCGUGCCUAAUAUAUGCAAGUCGAGCGAACGGACGAGAAGCUUGCUUCUCUGAUGUUAGCGGCGGACGGGUGAGUAACACGUGGAUAACCUACCUAUAAGACUGGGAUAACUUCGGGAAACCGGAGCUAAUACCGGAUAAUAUUUUGAACCGCAUGGUUCAAAAGUGAAAGACGGUCUUGCUGUCACUUAUAGAUGGAUCCGCGCUGCAUUAGCUAGUUGGUAAGGUAACGGCUUACCAAGGCAACGAUGCAUAGCCGACCUGAGAGGGUGAUCGGCCACACUGGAACUGAGACACGGUCCAGACUCCUACGGGAGGCAGCAGUAGGGAAUCUUCCGCAAUGGGCGAAAGCCUGACGGAGCAACGCCGCGUGAGUGAUGAAGGUCUUCGGAUCGUAAAACUCCGUUAUUAGGGAAGAACAUAUGUGUAAGUAACUGUGCACAUCUUGACGGUACCUAAUCAGAAAGCCACGGCUAACUACGUG
This 497-nucleotide ribosomal RNA is filed under the name uncultured bacterium. RNAcentral's name for it is "partial 16S ribosomal RNA". It matches the Rfam family "Bacterial small subunit ribosomal RNA", at positions 28 to 507 of the family's 1533-position model. The record is from RNAcentral.